ACUCGAGUGGCGAACGGGUGAGUAACACGUGGGUGAUCUGCCUUGCACUUCGGGAUAAGCCUGGGAAACUGGGUCUAAUACCGGAUAGGACCAUGCUUUAGUGUGUGUGGUGGAAAGUUUUUCGGUGCAAGAUGAGCCCGCGGCCUAUCAGCUUGUUGGUGGGGUAAUGGCCUACCAAGGCGUCGACGGGUAGCCGGCCUGAGAGGGUGUACGGCCACAUUGGGACUGAGAUACGGCCCAG
Molecule: ribosomal RNA, 241 nt
Filed under: uncultured Actinomycetales bacterium
Lineage: Bacteria; Bacillati; Actinomycetota; Actinomycetes; Actinomycetales
Description: partial 16S ribosomal RNA
Rfam family: Bacterial small subunit ribosomal RNA
Source: RNAcentral